GUGGCAAUUCCGUGCCAAGCGUGGCCGAAAGUUCAUGAAGGGAUGGGGCGCCAACCUGGGGUGUGACCUCCGCGAAUGCAAGUAGGCCCUGUUGACCGCCAUUCAGGCCCUGGACCUGCGUGUAGACGUGACCGGCUCGCUCCUGAGGAGUGGCUUUCUCGAUACGACUUGGAAGACCAACUUUCCGUCAUCUACAUGGACGAGCAGGUAUACUGGCGUCUCUGUGGUGCCCAAAAAUGGGUAUUGAAGGGGGACGCGAACACGACCUACUUUCAGGCCAUUGCCAAUGGUGGUCGUAGACGCGACACCAUCCCCCUCUGGGAUGGCGCAACCCUCCUGUAGUCCCCCAGUGACAUUCGAGCCCAUGUGGACGGGUUCUACAGGUCCCUGUUCUCCGCCGCUCCUAGGAGCAGCCUUUCUCUGGCCCAUGAUUGUUGGAACAACCUCCAGCUAGUUUUUGAUGCGGAGAACGUGGACCUUAUGGCCCCCUUCUCCAAGGGCGAGGUCUGGGCUGCCAUUAGAGGCAUGAACCCUACCUCGGCCCCGGGCCCGGAUGGCCUCCUGGUUAAAUUCUUCCAGACCUUCUGGAAUGUGAUUAAGUCUGAGAUCAUGGCCAUCUUCGAUGAGUUCUAUGUUGGGUCCAUUGAUCUCGGGCGCCUCAACUACGUGAUCAUUUUGCUCAUCCCCAAGGUGCCAGGGGCCUCCGACAUCCACCAGUUUUGGCCAAUCACGGUGAUCAAUGUGACCUUAUGGAUUCUGGCAAAAGGGUACGCCAAUUGGGUGACCCUGCUUGCUGAUCACAUUACCCACCCCAACCAAUCCACCUUCAUUCAAGGGCGGUAUAUCUUGGAUGGGGUGCUAGUGCUUCAUGAAGUCCUCCAUGAGGUCCGUUCUAAACACCUCAGGGCGGUUUUUCCUGAAGAUCGAUUUCCAUAA
This 936-nucleotide ribosomal RNA is filed under the name Triticum aestivum (bread wheat). Its description in RNAcentral is "partial small subunit ribosomal RNA". The record is from RNAcentral. Lineage: Eukaryota; Viridiplantae; Streptophyta; Magnoliopsida; Poales; Poaceae.